GAGAAUUUAGUUUAAUAAAAAACAUUAUUUUGUCAAGAUAAAAAUAUCCAAUAAGAAUAAUUCUUU
This 66-nucleotide transfer RNA is filed under the name Concaveplana rufolineata. Its description in RNAcentral is "tRNA-Asp". Lineage: Eukaryota; Metazoa; Arthropoda; Insecta; Hemiptera; Cicadellidae. The record is from RNAcentral.